Small RNA from Bacteroides sp. CAG:633, 84 nucleotides. It matches the Rfam family "Bacteroides-1 RNA". The record is from Rfam. NCBI's taxonomy places the organism in Bacteria, Pseudomonadati, Bacteroidota, Bacteroidia, Bacteroidales, Bacteroidaceae.
AGGCUAAUCUUCCUGAUUUUAUCUUUGGUGUAUGUGAAUAUACUUAGAUAGAUACUUAUGCCUCCCCGGCAUAGACAGGAUAGA